AUGAGACGAGUGAAUCCAGGAGAGAAUGUGACCCUUCAGUGUGACCUCACUGAUCCUCGUAUUCACUGGUACAGACAGAGCCCAGGACAGCUGCCCCUGGGCAUCGUGUACAUCCUGUCAUCCACAUAUACAGACGCAUGGUACUUCAAUGGCUUCGGACAUCAUUACUCUCUGGCAGCUCAUAACAGGCUGUUCAUCCACAAUGUUACAGCAGAAGAUUCUGGGAUAUACUACUGCGCCAGGAAGGAGGGCGACACUCUUACUUUCCACAGUGGAAUAGAGCUGAAUGUCGCAGGUGUUUAUUCCAACAGAGAUGAAGGUAAGAAAUAA
This is a non-coding RNA of Lepisosteus oculatus (spotted gar), 330 nucleotides long. The record is from the annotation of a RefSeq genome assembly. NCBI's taxonomy places the organism in Eukaryota, Metazoa, Chordata, Actinopteri, Semionotiformes, Lepisosteidae.